CGCGGGCGGCGGCGAGGCCGAGGCGGCGGCAGAGCCCCAGCGCGGCGGCCUCCAGCGCCGCCACGUAGGCGCGCAGCGGCAGGCGGCGGCGCCGCAGGUCGAGCACCGGCAGCGCCAGCAGCUGCCCGGGCCCGUGGAAGCAAAUACGCGAGUCUCGCCAGGCUGCUAAUGAGUCACCCAUUAAAACCCGAGCAAACGGACGAGUUCGGUUCCCAGAGCGCCGCGUUAUCGAGGAGAUGGAGGUCCUGUUUUUAUCGCAGAUCUGCCUCGCCGGCAGCCGGCCCUUUGUGUUCGCAGGCAAUUCGGCCGUCGCCUGACAACGGCAGGAAACACGCGGCUCUUCUGCAAGGCAUCGAGUUUUUGCCGGCCGUCGAAGCCAAUGCUCUUCCGUUUUGGCUGGCGGUGGCGGUGCCUGCGUAAGCUCAGGAAAACCGUGUGUAAGAGCUCUGGGAUCCUCGUAAAUGGGACGACAGGACUCAGCACGGUUGCAUCGCCUGGGGCAAUUUGCCUUUCUGCAGUGCCUUUUCCUUUGGGCAGCGUGAAGCGCUCCGCGGACGGUCGCUGAGCAGCUCAGCUCCCCGGUCUGGCUGCGGCAGAGCCGCUUUUUUGGCACCGGCAGAAGGAUAUCACCCCCUCGGGAAGCGUUAAAGCUAACGAUCCCCUGGAAGACACAUUUUGGGGAGUUGGCACUUUAGAUGAAACACAACGGAGGAAGAAAACGGUGGCACGGGUGCAUACGGUCCAUAGAUCUCGAAAUAUUUCACCGAGCGGUCAGGAUGUGUUUUACCUGCGGGAAAACAGGGGCAGAGGGAAGUCACGCUGCAGGUCCGUGGUCGCGCCAGGGCCGGGCCAGCUCUGCCGCCCGCUGCGGACGCUGCGCGAGGUUACGCCGCUUCGGCAGCGCAACGCAGGCGGCUGAUGUUUGUGUGUCAGCAGGAUUAAUCAGACGAGCACAACCUGCAAGACAGGAGCAGUUAAGUUAAGCCUGACUUAAUGGUGUAAACAUGCAAGCGUGCACUCAUGGCACCUGGCAAUGAUCAGGGGCAGUCGAGCAAAGUCCUUCACACCUGAAUUUCUGGUCUUGGCUUCCUCCGUUUUCUGUCUGCCCAAUGUUAAUUUUGAGGUGCCUUUGAUUUGAAGCUCUUCUGUUUGGGGUCCAUGCAAGGAAAUGUGAAAAGUAGCAGUUUGUGUGGUAAAACUGUUCCCUCUGUCAUUUCAUUUUGCUGCCAAAUAACUGCCGUUGAGAUGUUUUUCAAGGAUGAGUCUCCCAAGAGAAGUGAGUUAUGUCUGAGCUGUCUCUUCUAAAAGGUUUUAUUUUGGACACCAGCACAGAAAAACCACUUCUUCCAGCCAUCAGGGAUCAGACCUUGUGUUUUCACCGUCUGCGACACGGGGUGGAUAUUGCUCUGAGCCUCUCUGAGCCCCUAUUGCAACGCUUGGUUGUGCUCACGGAGCAAAAUUUCUCCUAAUAUCCAGUCCGAACCUCUCUUAUUUCAAUUUAUGCCCAUUUAGUUACCUCAGAGCAUAAAGCUGGUAUGAAUGAGAUCAGAGAGAGAUCUCAUGCCAUUUUCUGUAAAAGAGAACAAAUCCUCAGUUAAAAGAACUUAAACUCCAUCUUGCCCUAAAAUUAAUGGGCAAUAGCGAGACGCAAGUUAUGCAAAACCCUGAAGGUGAAAAGUAAAAUUUUACAGUAACUGGGCAUGUUAACCAAGGUCAGGAAACCAUCCAGAAACCUCAAAGCAGGAAACUUGGAGGAAAAAACAAAAGACGAAAAGAGGCCUUUAAAAAAAAAAAGAAAAAGAUGAGUAAUGUAUUAAGACUCGCACCCUCCUUCCGUAAACCAAGCACAAAUGUCAAGUCGGGAGCAACAUGUCGCAAUGCAAGAAUAGCCCCAUAAAACGGAGGAAAGGAGGAACAGGAGUGUGAGAGAAAGCGCACGAGGCCGCAGGAGGAAGAGGAUGUAUACAAUUUUAUUACCAGCAAAAACAAACACGAUGCCAGCGGAGGAGCGCGGUUGUUGUGACCGCUGCAGAAACAGCACUUUCGCACGCUGUGGGGUCACGUGCAUCGCGUGAGGUUGUUUUAAGGCCUGGUAAAUGUGUGCGGUUUCCUUCCCUGACCUUUGCUAGGUAAAAAAAUGAUGCAUUCGAGUGAAUAUGGGUGUCCGCUCAGCAUGCUGGUGCAGCGGCAGGAGCAUCGGCUUUCACAAGUGGAAGAGUCCCCGUAGCUCUCCUGGAGCUCCCUGCUCAGCUUUGGGGCUCGGAGGCCCCAAAUUUUCUUACUAAAUCCUUCUGGCAGGGUACAACACGGGGUGGAGGGAGGGAGCGGCCCUGCUUUUUCACCCUGCACGUAGCAGCGCUGAGCUGACGCCGAAGCGUUUGCUCCCCACGCAGAAGAGGCGGGAGCACGGCUCCUUCCCUGCUCGCUCCUGGGACGCUGUAGCUGUUCGCUGCCCUGUGUUUGGGGAAAUGCUUUUCUGCUCGUUCCCAUCAUGGUUUUAUCAGUAGUUACUCAUUAGAGGAGUCUCGUUAUUUCCUAGCUGUUCCCCUUGUUUAUCUUCCUUAAUUGCCUGUCUGCACAAGGACACUGAUCCGAAUAGCUGCUACAAAACAAGCUGCUUUGCCACCGCUCCUCCUGUGCCCAUCCUGCUAUUGAAUAAAUGACAAAUACUCCACGCUGAGGCACACUAAUCAUCUUAAAAGAAAAGAGGUCUAGAAGAGGUGUCCAUAGGGGAGCUGUUCCAUCAAUUUUCCCACACAAGCAGCCCAGGAAACAUUUUCAGAAUGAGAUAUGGGUAUCAGUAGAUAAGCCAAGGUCAGAAAUGCCAGCUACUAACGUGACUCGCCGUGGGGAAUCCUGAUGAUGCUUUGGGAAGACGUUCGUGUCAAUCAGCUUUGUUCAGAUGCGAUAACAUGUAGCCGGUGGCAGCUCAGCCGGGAUUAUACUUACUGCUGAUAGAUUCCCAGCUGUUUACACAUGCAUUUUUCUUCUACAGUGCUUAAGCUUUGCAUAUACCUAUUUAUUUUUUAAAAAGGAAAUCAACACAGGUACAAAAAUAAAAAAAAAGCUCUCUGAACCAUUAACAAUGCAACAUUUCCUUUUAUGAAGGCACACUGCUAUACUGUCACGCACCAUAAAACAUGCGAGUGAAAUGGGAACCAGCUCCAGAUUAAGACACUUAAAUUUAGGUGUCUGCACAUAUGCUGGGUGUCUAAAGCUCUCCGUACAGCUGGUGGGGACAGUUGCCAGUACUGUCAGUGGUGCGAGGAGGGUGGUUUGGCUGAGAUAGACAGCAAGUGACUGCCAGCAAAUGCACGCUGUGCUCCACCGAUUGCAGGAAGGGAGACGCUUUCCAGCUCCUGUAGUCUUCAUCCACCUGAAACCUACCUCUGUGUCUUCUCAGAUGCUUUUCUCUUCCCAGUAUUACUGCUGCCUCACCCUUUCCAACCCUUUUUUGGUUGUGAACGUGCAGAUUGUUUGGUGCCCUCGUACUCAGCUUGUUGGAUUUCACCUUCGCUGCAAGUCCGGCAGCACCCAGGUCCCACACGUCCUCCUGGCAGAGCCCUCCUACCCACCCAGGCUUCCUUCUUUCAUGGGGCAGCUACACCAUCUUUUAGGCCUCAGCGGUGUUACAGCCACAGAAAAGACUAUUAAGCCGUGCAAACAAAUGCAUGUCUCAAAUGUAGCUAUCUCCUGUGACACCAAUUUUGAUCUAGUUUAUGGCCUUUCUUGUACUGAUUCUGUCCCUUGCAAAUCUGUAAACAUAUUCAUUCCUGUUGGUUUUAUGAUAGCACCUGAUCCGAACUCUUCCAGCCAUGUUUAUGCAUAUUUAAGGAGGGAAACUAUGGGAAACUCACCCAUCAGACCGGUUUCCUACUGGAAGGACCCCAUUAUUCUACCUAGUUAUUUGUAAUUUGUCCUGGUGUAAGAAAGGAGGAAGGUCAGACUCUCCGUAUCUACUGACGUAUCUCUCAUACGACUUCCAUUUUGCAACUGAAAUCCUCCACUUUUACUCAGACGGGAUGCAUUUCCUCUCCAACACUGCAUCUUCGGAAGCCUCUAAUAGAUGUCCCCUGAUAAGCUCCAAAAUGAGAGAGGUGCUGGUAGCUAGAUGAGUUUUGGAGAGAUUAAAUUAACUAUGCUUUGACACUGGGAUCCCUCCCUUCAGCCUGCUCAAGGAAGUCCCCCCUCAUAUAGUAUUAAUUAAAGCUUCAGGAGAACUCCUUUCACUCAAACUCACAUGUUUGCUAGCUACUAUCUGUAAUGCGUUUCCAGACAUCCUGCCCAUUUUUUUUGUUUUCUCAAAUGCAUUUUGAAAUGACCAUUACGAUGAGUCCUCAGGCUUUCUGUCUGCUGGCGCUGGUCGUUUUGGCUGUGAGCAGCUGUCUUGAUGCUGGGGCUGUGCAUGCUACCGAGGUCACUGCCGCACACUCGGCUUUCCUUGUGGGAAUUCGCUGCGACCCAAGGACUGCACGGCAGGGUCAACGCUGGGGCCAGUCUUGUUCAACUUAUUCAUCCAUGACCUGGAUGCUGGGGCAGAUGCACCCUCAGCAAGUUCACAGGUGACACCAAACUGGGAGGAGUGGUGAUGCCCCGGAGGGCUGUGCUGCCGUUCGGAGGGACCUGGACAGGCUGGAGAGAUGGGCAGAGAGGAACCUCGUGAAGUUCAGCAAAGCUGCUGCGUUUCAAGCUCCAUUGGACUGGAACAUUUUUGCUCAAGGACUUGAUUCAUCAGAUGAAAUUGCAUAAUGACUCCUUCCUAGCUCUGGGCAGAGCAUGAGACGUGUCAUGCUACUUACUGACAAGAAUAAGCCGCAAGUCCCAGAAUCUGCACAAAAUCACUGCUUUCUCAUAACAAACAGCAGUACGUGGAUAAUGAUUUUGACCUUCAUCCUGCCCCUGUUGAAAUCAGAAAGAAAACCUCCGACUUCAGGGAGUAAAAGGUUCUUUCUCAGUAGUCACUAAUUAAAUGUACACUUGCAGCAUCACCAAA
Molecule: long non-coding RNA, 4993 nt
Organism: Dromaius novaehollandiae (emu)
Lineage: Eukaryota; Metazoa; Chordata; Aves; Casuariiformes; Dromaiidae
Exons: 8
Source: RefSeq, a predicted model, not a curated record